This is a long non-coding RNA of Scylla paramamosain (green mud crab), 959 nucleotides long. RefSeq lists it as uncharacterized. Lineage: Eukaryota; Metazoa; Arthropoda; Malacostraca; Decapoda; Portunidae. The record is from RefSeq and is a predicted model, not a curated record. The transcript is spliced from 4 exons.
UUCCCUCUGUACGUAUCUCUCCUCUCAUCUGUGCCUGAAUGUGAAGAAUACUAUAGUCUACAUCUUCAUUUAGUUUGCAAAUAAUUUAUUACUAGGCUUCAACGAGAUAAGUGUUUCAUAAGGACAAGUAUCAGUAUCACUCACCCGCUUCGAGACGAGAGAAUGAAUCCCAGCCGGCUCGUAGUCCACCUCAGUGCUGCACCAGACACAGACGGGGAAGGAGGUUGUCAGUGAGAGCUGCGUGCACACCCGUGGAGUAAGUAACCGACACUUCAAAGGACUGUGGUGGUGGUGUGAUGACCGAGGUGUGAAGCGAAGGUUACCCGGAAGCCAAAAUGAACCUCACCAAGCUGACAAUUAACAAGAAACAACCUGUGACGGAAGUAUUAAAUGGGUGCAGUAAGUAGUUCGUGGAAGGCGGCUAGACCGGUUAGUCGUCCUAAGGUAUGAGAAAAAGUUCGUCGUCUCAAGGAAGGCGGCUCCAUCCACGCUUGGGAAUGGAGGAGCACCGACCGCAGGGGGCAAUGUUGGAACAGGUGAUGUCCGUCUUCUUGCUCACCCAAUCUUGAUCUUCAUUUUCUUGCACUUCCUUCAUCUUUUUUAUUGCUGUCCAUCUCAGACCCUUCUCGUCUCCCUGCCGCUGGUCGUCGUCCCUCCUGCCAUUUCUCUUCGUCACGCUGUCUUGCUUUUCCUCCUCACUUGAUCUUUAAAUUUUCUUAUCCUUCCUUCUUCGUCUUCCUUCUUCGUCUGUUUUAUUGAUGUCCAACCCUUCUCGUCUCACUGCCGCUAGUCGUCCCUUCUUCCUCUUCGUCGCGCUGUCUUGGUCAGUGUUCAUGCCGUCCUCUUCACAUCAUUCCUCCGUACCUGAAAAGUAUUAGGUGUUAUUGUUCGUAUUAACACUAUUGAAGAAAGCCGAUGAUUCACCCUUAUGUAUAACUAAUGUAUAAAAAGUAAAAGUA